Molecule: non-coding RNA, 2936 nt
Organism: Camellia sinensis
Lineage: Eukaryota; Viridiplantae; Streptophyta; Magnoliopsida; Ericales; Theaceae
Source: RefSeq, a predicted model, not a curated record
UUUGGUAUACAAUGAUUUUUAGCUUUUAUGUUUCUUUUUUGCUUACUCUCAUGACUAAUAGUAGACAGAACCGAACACUUGCCUGCUAAGGUCAGGGCAAGCUCAUUGAUGAUGUAGUUGUUGUUAUUUUUGAACUUUUUUUUAAAAGCAAAAUAUAAAAAUGAAAAUGAUAAAGUGAGCCGAAUCACAAAUAGCCCAUGUCGGUGGAUGGCUGGAGCGUGGGGUGUCUAAUUGUUAAUAAUGACUCCACUGUUUAUAGAUCUCGCUUAUGACUUUCAGCUAUUGAAUCUAUCAACCCAUUGGGGCUGUCUGGUAGUUUUUCCCAGUUAUGCUCUGUUGCAAUUUUGUUUACUGAUUUUGGGUCUAUGAUUUUUCUUAAAAUAGACCUAUUAAAUCCAAUAUAUUUUUCUUUGAGAAUUUAUUUGUGAAAGAGUAGUGAUCAUUAAUUCCGUGCUUUAUUUUUGGCCUCAUGUUGAUAAAUGAUAUUCAAGGUUCAUGUUAUCCCCAUCUUCAGUUGCCUGCAAGUGCUUUACUUGUGCUUUACAAUUGUGAAUCAGGAAACUUUUAAAUUACUUUCAAAGAUGUCCAAUUAUGUCCAAUUAUAAAUUACUUUGUUCCAUUAUGAAUCAGAUUUGUCCAUUAUGUCCAAUUAUGUCCAAUUUUAAAUUACUUUCAAAGAUGUUUAUGUCCAUUAUGAAUCAGAUUUGUUCCAAUUUAAAAUUACUUUGUUCCAAUUAUGUCCACCAUUCCCUAAUUCAUUAUUUUUGGAAUUAGGCCAUGAAUUGAUACUUUUUUUUUUCACUAUUCUUUUUGUGUGGUAUGAACAAUUGUGCUUUAGAUGGAAUAUCAAGGAAAUGCGUAUUUUAGCAACCUAAUGAACGAGUUUGACGUUGACCAUGAUUUUACCACUGCAUUAUGCUGUCCUGUUUUUGCAGGUGUUCUGGUUGCACUCAAGAGUACAAUCUCCACCAUCCGAUCAUCCUCGACGAGGCCACCGACUUCUUCAAUAAACACGGCGUAUCUGACUUCACCUUCGAUACUUGUAGACUCUGGGGAUGGAGGUGCCGCGCAAAACUCGCAGUAAGUUUGAGUUCAGUUGUGUGUUUCUCUACACUUGAUUUUGAAGAGGGUUUUUCGCGAUCUGGGCCGUGGUUCAAUCCUCUGUUCAGUUCGAAUCUCAGUAAGUUUGAGUUCAGUUGUGUGUUUCUCUACACUUGAUUUUGAAGAGGGUUUUUCGCGAUCUGGGCCGUGGUUCAAUCCUCUGUUCAGUUCGAAUCUCAGUAAGUUUGAGUUCAGUUGUGUGUUUCUCUACACUUGAUUUUGAAGAGGGUUUUUCGCGAUCUGGGCCGUGGUUCAAUCCUCUGUUCAGUUCGAAUCUCAGUAAGUUUGAGUUCAGUUGUGUGUUUCUCUACACUUGAUUUUGAAGAGGGUUUUUCGCGAUCUGGGCCGUGGUUCAAUCCUCUGUUCAGUUCGAAUCUCAGUAAGUUUGAGUUCAGUUGUGUGUUUCUCUACACUUGAUUUUGAAGAGGGUUUUUCGCGAUCUGGGCCGUGGUUCAAUCCUCUGUUCAGUUCGAAUCUCAGUAAGUUUGAGUUCAGUUGUGUGUUUCUCUACACUUGAUUUUGAAGAGGGUUUUUCGCGAUCUGGGCCGUGGUUCAAUCCUCUGUUCAGUUCGAAUCUCAGUAAGUUUGAGUUCAGUUGUGUGUUUCUCUACACUUGAUUUUGAAGAGGGUUUUUCGCGAUCUGGGCCGUGGUUCAAUCCUCUGUUCAGUUCGAAUCUCAGUAAGUUUGAGUUCAGUUGUGUGUUUCUCUACACUUGAUUUUGAAGAGGGUUUUUCGCGAUCUGGGCCGUGGUUCAAUCCUCUGUUCGGUUCGAAUCUCAGUAAGUUUGAGUUCAGUUGUGUGUUUUUUAAGUGAUGUGUUUCGACACUUUUGCCUUGAUAGAUUUUUGUUUUGUUUAUUUUUUUUGUUUCUUCAAGAUUCAUAUGUUUGAGUGGUCUCAUCCUAGUUGGAAUCAUGAUUCUAUCUCGAUGUUAAUAUGGGUUUUGACAAGAUUUUUACGUUAAACAACAAAAUUUUUGUUUUAGAGAAGAAGUGUCACUCCCAAUAGGCGGUUCUUGCAAUGAAGGUAUGUGGUAUGCCUGAUGCUAUUGUUCACGAUAGGAGCUUGUCAUACAAAGUUACAUAGAGACAUUGAGAGGGAAAUCUAAUUUUAGAACAAUAAUCUUUUAGCUCAUAGAUGAAGAACAAUAAUUGUUUGCUUUGUAAUGCAUGUUUUUUGUUAAGUUCGUUGUGCAUUUUGAUGUGGAGAGUUUGGGAGAGAAUAGAAAGUUUUGUUGAUGGUGAUAGAGAAGAGAGACAAACUGUUUGUAUAAACUGGCAUAGAGAGAGGUGGAUGUCCAGAUGGGUAAUGGUUUCUAGUUUCUCCACAUUUUAACGUAGUUUAGUUUAUUGACAUGCUGGAUUAGCAAUCUGCAGCAUUUUUAUUUUUAUUUUUGUGUGCUUAAUGGGUUACACUAGUUUAUUGAAUAUAAACUAGGGAUCCAACUCUUUACAAUAUAAGAUAUUCAAGAGCAAACAAUGAAAUAUUCGCAGGACUUUUGAGAGCUUUAAGUGGGUCAUGGUCCCUUUUCCACCCCUGGUUCUGCCUUUGUACAUGUUAUUGCUGGAAAAGGAGAGUUGGAGAGAGAGAGAGAGAGAGGCCACCAUUAACAAACCAAACCAAACCAAGCCAAGCCUUAAGUCUCAUCAAUGGGGCCGGCUACAUGAAUCUUUCUUCCCCACUUGACUUUAUCAAUAGGCCAUUUGGUUAGUCAAAUUUAGGAGAUUCAUAUCUCUAUUUACUACACUAGCCCACUAUAUAUGUUGAAAUUAGUGAAAGAUAAGAUGUGUUUGCCUUGAGGUAUUAGUAGAGGGGCUAUUUAUAGAUAUUUUCACU